Molecule: long non-coding RNA, 766 nt
Organism: Papaver somniferum (opium poppy)
Lineage: Eukaryota; Viridiplantae; Streptophyta; Magnoliopsida; Ranunculales; Papaveraceae
Exons: 3
Source: RefSeq, a predicted model, not a curated record
ACCACCGCCACCGGCACCAUCACCAUCAAAUUCAUAACACUACUACUGCUGCACCGUCGGCACCGUCUAAACCAGCUGCACCACCAAAUUCAUACGUAAUCAUAAUCAAUUUACUCCAGCGAUUUGUGGCCUGACCAUUGAUUUAAGGAGCCUAAUUGCUGAACGGAUGAACAAAAUAUUCAGAGAUAAUCUAUGAUUGCUGUAGGAGUUCAAUUGUUCUCCCGAGAAAAUGUGACAAAAAUUCCAGGAUUUGGUGAAGGGUGUGCUUGAUACUGCUGCCGCAAUACGUGAUGGGGGUUAUGCAAAGGCUAGAGUGAAAGGAUUGUCUUCUGGAAGUGAGUCGGUUUAUGUUCUUACUCACUGCUGGGAGAUAUUUAAUGCUAGCUCAUGCAAAGCGUGUUUGGAGAGAGCAUCAACCUUAGUGGUCGGAUGUUAUCGUAUUCAGAGGGACGAGCACUUGAGACAGGAUGCUUCAUGACUCAUGAGGUAUUCAAACACAAAUUUCCUUGACAAAGAACGAACAAUUGAAAGCUUGGAAGGUACUACAGAAGCAAUUAAUGUAUCCACAUUGUAUUAAUAGAAUUAUAAUUAAGGGGAUAUGAUGUCAUAAAACCAAACUGCACUCUUGACAUGACUUUGGACCUCUACUGAACAUUGCAGUAAGCCCAGGAGUGUUGCUGAUCUUAUUUUUGAGUUCUUUGGCUGGCUGUUGUAAAGGUAGGGUAGUAAUUGGAGUCCUUAAGCUUAAAAAGGAUAAGCAAUAAAC